UNUCUGGGCCGUUACUGACGCUGAGGAGCGAAAGCGUGGGGAGCGAACAGGAUUAGAUACCCUGGUAGUCCACGCCGUAAACGUUGGNCACUAGGUGUGGGGGGCCUUUUCCGGGUUNUCCGCGCCGUAGCUAACGCAUUAAGUGCCCCGCCUGGGGAGUACGGCCGCAAGGCUAAAACUCAAAGGAAUUGACGGGGGCCCGCACAAGCGGCGGAGCAUGCGGAUUAAUUCGAUGCAACGCGAAGAACCUUACCAAGGCUUGACAUGUGCCGGUCGGCUCCGGAGACGGGGUUUCCUCCUUGUGGGGCCGGAUCACAGGUGGUGCAUGGUUGUCGUCAGCUCGUGUCGUGAGAUGUUGGGUUAAGUCCCGCAACGAGCGUAACCCUUGUCCCGUGUUGCCAGCACGUUGUGGUGGGGAUUCGCGGGAGACUGCCGGGGUCAACUCGGAGGAAGGUGGGGAUGACGUCAAAUCAUCAUGCCCCUUAUGUCUUGGGCUUCACGCAUGCUACAAUGGCCGGUACAGAGGGCUGCGGUACCGUGAGGUGGAGCGAAUCCCUUAAAGCCGGUCUCAGUUCGGAUCGGUGUCUG
RNAcentral lists this ribosomal RNA (588 nucleotides) under uncultured bacterium. RNAcentral's name for it is "bacterial SSU rRNA". It matches the Rfam family "Bacterial small subunit ribosomal RNA", at positions 726 to 1307 of the family's 1533-position model. The record is from RNAcentral.